RNAcentral lists this ribosomal RNA (270 nucleotides) under uncultured bacterium. Its description in RNAcentral is "partial 16S ribosomal RNA". It matches the Rfam family "Bacterial small subunit ribosomal RNA", at positions 29 to 288 of the family's 1533-position model. The record is from RNAcentral.
AAUGAACGCUGGCGGCGCGCCUAAUACAUGCAAGUCGAGCGAGAAGACGUAGCAAUACGUUUGUAAAGCGGCGAACGGGUGAGGAAUACAUGGGUAACCUACCCUCGAGUGGGAGUAACUAGCCGAAAGGUUAGCUAAUACCGCGUACGCUCCUUGGACUUCGGUUUCAGGGAGGAAAGCGAUACCGUGGGUAUCGCGCUCUUCGGAUGGGCUCAUGUCCUAUCAGCUUGUUGGUGAGGUAACGGCUCACCAAGGCUUCGACGGGUAGCU